Molecule: ribosomal RNA, 301 nt
Filed under: uncultured bacterium
Lineage: Bacteria
Description: partial 16S ribosomal RNA
Rfam family: Bacterial small subunit ribosomal RNA
Source: RNAcentral
CAGCAGCCACGGGAAUACAGAGGGUGCGAGCGUUAAUCGCAUUUACUGGGCGUAAAGCGUGCGUAGGCGGCUUCUUAAGUCGGAUGUGAAAUCCCUGAGCUUAACUUAGGAAUUGCAUUCGAUACUGGGAAGCUAGAGUAUGGGAGAGGAUGGUAGAAUUCCAGGUGUAGCGGUGAAAUGCGUAGAGAUCUGGAGGAAUACCGAUGGCGAAGGCAGCCAUCUGGCCUAAUACUGACGCUGAGGUACGAAAGCAUGGGGAGCAAACAGGAUUAGAUACCCGCGUAGUCCCUGUCUCUUAUAA